RNAcentral lists this ribosomal RNA (886 nucleotides) under uncultured bacterium. Its description in RNAcentral is "bacterial SSU rRNA". It matches the Rfam family "Bacterial small subunit ribosomal RNA", at positions 520 to 1399 of the family's 1533-position model. The record is from RNAcentral.
GUGAUACGUAGGAAGCCAGCGAUAUUCUGAUCUACUUGUUGUAUAGACGAGUAGACGGGCCUGUCAAGCUAGGGAGUGAAAUUCCUCGGGCGUGAUCUACCCGACACUGCUUUCUAUAAACUACUGGUCUGAGUGAUGGAAGAGGCAGGCGGGAAUUCCGUGUGUAGCGGUGAAAUGAGUAGAUAUUACGGAGGAGCACCCAGUCGCGAAGGCGGCCUGCUGGACACUAACUGACGCUGAGAAGCGAAAAGCGUGGGGAGCAAACACGAUUAGAUACCCUGGUAGUCCACGCCGUAAGCGAUGGAUACUAGGUGUGGGAGGUAUUGACCCCUUCCGUGCCGGAGUUAACACAAUAAGUAUCCCACCUGGGGAGUACGGCCGCAAGGUUGAAACUCAAAGGAAAUGACGGGGGCCCGCACAAGCAGUGGAGUAUGUGGUUUAUUUUGAAGCAACGCGAAGAACCUUACCAGGUCUUGACAUCCCUUUGACCGCCCUAGAAAUAAGGUUUCCCUUCGGGGCAGAGGUGACUGGUGGUGCAUGGUUGUCGUCAGCUCGUGUCGUGAGAUGUUGGGUAAAGUCCCGCAACGAGCGCAACCCUUACGGUUAGUUGAUACGCAAGGUCACUCUAGCCGGACUGCCGUUGACAAAACGGAGGAAGGUGGGGGGGACGUCAAAUCAUCAUGCCCCUUAUGACCUGGGGUACACACGUACUACAAUGGCAGUCAUACAGAGGGAAGCAAAGCAGUGAUGUGGAGCAAAUCCCUAAAAGCUGUCCCAGUUCAGAUUGCAGGCUGCAACCCGCCUGCAUGAAGUCGGAAUUGCUAGUAAUCGCGGAUCAGCAUGCCGCGGCGAAUACGUUCCCGGGCCUUGUACACACCGCCCGUCA